GACGAACGCUGGCGGUGUGCUUAGCACAUGCAAGUCGAACGGUAAGGCCCUUUCGGGGGUACACGAGUGGCGAACGGGUGAGUAACACGUGAGUAACCUGCCCUCAUCUCUGGGAUAACAGUCGGAAACGGUUGCUAAUACUGGAUAUGAGCCUGCAAGGCAUCUUGUGGGUUGGAAAGAUUUUUUGGUUGGGGAUGGACUCGCGGCCUAUCAGCUUGUUGGUGAGGUAGUGGCUCACCAAGGCUUCGACGGGUAGCCGGCCUGAGAGGGCGACCGGCCACAUUGGGACUGAGAUACGGCCCAAACUCCUACGGGAGGCAGCAGUGGGGAAUAUUGCACAAUGGACGGAAGUCUGAUGCAGCAACGCCGCGUGCGGGAGGACGGCCUUCGGGUUGUAAACCGCUUUCAAUUGUGACGAAGCUUUUUGUGACGGUAGCAGUAGAAGAAGCACCGGCUAACUACGUG
Molecule: ribosomal RNA, 465 nt
Filed under: uncultured bacterium
Lineage: Bacteria
Description: partial 16S ribosomal RNA
Rfam family: Bacterial small subunit ribosomal RNA
Source: RNAcentral